UGCAGUCGAGCGCUCUCUUCGGAGGGAGCGGCGGACGGGUUAGUAACGCGUGGGAACGUACCCAGAUCUAAGGAAUAGCCACUGGAAACGGUGAGUAAUACCUUAUACGCCCUUCGGGGGAAAGAUUUAUCGGAUUUGGAUCGGCCCGCGUUAGAUUAGAUAGUUGGUGGGGUAACGGCCUACCAAGUCUACGAUCUAUAGCUGGUUUUAGAGGAUGAUCAGCAACACUGGGACUGAGACACGGCCCAGACUCCUACGGGAGGCAGCAGUGGGGAAUCUUGGACAAUGGGCGCAAGCCUGAUCCAGCCAUGCCGCGUGAGUGAUGAAGGCCUUAGGGUCGUAAAGCUCUUUCGCCUGUGAAGAUAAUGACGGUAGCAGGUAAAGAAACCCCGGCUAACUCCGUGCCAGCAGCCGCGGUAAUACGGAGGGGGUUAGCGUUGUUCGGAAUUACUGGGCGUAAAGCGCACGUAGGCGGAUUGGAAAGUAUGGGGUGAAAUCCCCGGG
This 504-nucleotide ribosomal RNA is filed under the name Ruegeria sp. Its description in RNAcentral is "bacterial SSU rRNA". It matches the Rfam family "Bacterial small subunit ribosomal RNA", at positions 56 to 607 of the family's 1533-position model. Lineage: Bacteria; Pseudomonadati; Pseudomonadota; Alphaproteobacteria; Rhodobacterales; Roseobacteraceae. The record is from RNAcentral.